Molecule: non-coding RNA, 217 nt
Filed under: Clostridium pasteurianum
Lineage: Bacteria; Bacillati; Bacillota; Clostridia; Eubacteriales; Clostridiaceae
Description: T-box sequence
Rfam family: T-box leader
About the family: Uncharged tRNA acts as the effector for transcription antitermination of genes in the T-box leader family. T-boxes are found upstream of many aminoacyl-tRNA synthetase genes and some amino acid biosynthetic genes usually in Gram-positive bacteria.
Source: RNAcentral
AUAAAAGCUAUGAAAAGGAAGAGUAAAUAUAUACUGUUCUAAGAGAGAGAAAUCAUUUGCUGAGAGAUUUCUUGAAUAAGAUUUAUUGAAAACCACCUUUGAGUUAAAGGCUGAAUUGAGUAGGCUAUUUCGUUUAUCGACGUUAAGAUAAUAAGUGAAUACUGAUUUUGAUGCAGUAUUAAUUUGAGUGGAACCGCGAAACAAACUCGUCUCAUUA